UUCGACGGGUAGCCGGCCUGAGAGGGUGACCGGCCACACUGGGACUGAGACACGGCCCAGACUCCUACGGGAGGCAGCAGUGGGGAAUAUUGGACAAUGGGCGGAAGCCUGAUCCAGCAACGCCGCGUGAGGGAUGACGGCCUUCGGGUUGUAAACCUCUUUCAGCACAGACGAAGCGCAAGUGACGGUAUGUGCAGAAGAAGGACCGGCCAACUACGUGCCAGCAGCCGCGGUAAUACGUAGGGUCCGAGCGUUGUCCGGAAUUAUUGGGCGUAAAGGGCUCGUAGGCGGUUUGUCACGUCGGGAGUGAAAACCAGGUGCUUAACACCUGGCCUGCUUUCGAUACGGGCAGACUAGAGGUACUCAGGGGAGAAUGGAAUUCCUGGUGUAGCGGUGAAAUGCGCAGAUAUCAGGAGGAACACCGGUGGCGAAGGCGGUUCUCUGGGAGUAUCCUGACGCUGAGGAGCGGAAGUGCGGGGAGCGAACAGGAUUAGAUACCCUGGUAGUCCACACCCGUAAACGUUGGGCGCUAGGUGUGGGGAUCCAUUCCACGGGUUCCGUGCCGCACUAANGCAUUAAGCGCCCCCGCCUG
RNAcentral lists this ribosomal RNA (592 nucleotides) under uncultured bacterium. RNAcentral describes it as "bacterial SSU rRNA". It matches the Rfam family "Bacterial small subunit ribosomal RNA", at positions 275 to 875 of the family's 1533-position model. The record is from RNAcentral.